RNAcentral lists this ribosomal RNA (497 nucleotides) under uncultured bacterium. RNAcentral describes it as "partial 16S ribosomal RNA". It matches the Rfam family "Bacterial small subunit ribosomal RNA", at positions 28 to 507 of the family's 1533-position model. The record is from RNAcentral.
GAUGAACGCUGGCGGCGUGCCUAAUACAUGCAAGUCGAGCGAACGGACGAGAAGCUUGCUUCUCUGAUGUUAGCGGCGGACGGGUGAGUAACACGUGGAUAACCUACCUAUAAGACUGGGAUAACUUCGGGAAACCGGAGCUAAUACCGGAUGAUAUUUUGAACCGCAUGGUUCAAAAGUGAAAGACGGUCUUGCUGUCACUUAUAGAUGUAUCCGCGCUGCAUUAGCUAGUUGGUAAGGUAACGGCUUACCAAGGAAACGAUGCAUAGCCGACCUGAGAGGGUGAUCGGCAACACUGGAACUGAGACACGGUCCAGACUCCUACGGGAGGCAGCAGUAGGGAAUCUUCCGCAAUGGGCGAAAGCCUGAAGGAGCAACGCCGCGUGAGUGAUGAAGGUCUUCGGAUCGUAAAACUCUGUUAUUAGGGAAGAACAUAUGUGUAAGUAACUGUGCACAUCUUGACGGUACCUAAUCAGAAAGCCACGGCUAACUACGUG